GGGGCCGUAGCUCAAUUGGGAGAGCGCAGCGUUCGCAAUGCUGAGGUUACGGGUUCGAGUCCCGUCGGCUCCACUA
RNAcentral lists this transfer RNA (76 nucleotides) under Gemmataceae bacterium. Its description in RNAcentral is "tRNA-Ala". It matches the Rfam family "tRNA". From Rfam's summary of the family: Transfer RNA (tRNA) molecules are approximately 80 nucleotides in length. Their secondary structure includes four short double-helical elements and three loops (D, anti-codon, and T loops). The record is from RNAcentral. Lineage: Bacteria; Pseudomonadati; Planctomycetota; Planctomycetia; Gemmatales; Gemmataceae.